This 460-nucleotide ribosomal RNA is filed under the name uncultured Enterobacteriaceae bacterium. Its description in RNAcentral is "bacterial SSU rRNA". It matches the Rfam family "Bacterial small subunit ribosomal RNA", at positions 924 to 1382 of the family's 1533-position model. The record is from RNAcentral. Lineage: Bacteria; Pseudomonadati; Pseudomonadota; Gammaproteobacteria; Enterobacterales; Enterobacteriaceae.
CACAAGCGGUGGAACAUGUGGUUUAAUUCGACGCAAAGCGAAAAACCUCACCAAGGUUUGACAUACCAAUCGUAUCCCUAAGAAACUAGGGAGUCAGUUCGGCUGGAUUGGAGACAGGUGCUGCAUGGCUGUCGUCAGCUCGUGUUGUGAAAUGUUGGGUUAAGUCCCGCAACGAGCGCAACCCUUAUCCUUUGUUGCCAGCGGUCCGGCCGGGAACUCAAAGGAGACUGCCAGUGAUAAACUGGAGGAAGGUGGGAUGACGUCAAGUCAUCAUGGCCCUUACGACCAGGGCUACACACGUGCUACAAUGGCGCAUACAAAGAGAAGCGACCUCGCGAGAGCAAGCGGACCUCAUAAAGUGCGUCGUAGUCCGGAUUGGAGUCUGCAACUCGACUCCAUGAAGUCGGAAUCGCUAGUAAUCGUGGAUCAGAAUGCCACGGUGAAUACGUUCCCGGGCCUU